This 1820-nucleotide long non-coding RNA is filed under the name Homo sapiens (human). RNAcentral's name for it is "HSALNT0307082". Lineage: Eukaryota; Metazoa; Chordata; Mammalia; Primates; Hominidae. The record is from RNAcentral.
CUUCCGACCACUGCGGGAGGAGGGUGCCGCAAGCCAGGCGCACCCCAGUGGCGCGCAUCCUCCCUUCCCGGCGGCCCCUGGCAGCCACGGGGCCCGGGGCCCAGAGCCAGAACCAGGUGCGGUAGAGCGGUCCGCAGACUCGGGCGCCCGGUCUGGGGGUGGUCUGCUGUGGGGGCUGGGUCAGACUGCACACCGGGCUAGGGAGAGGGAGACCGGUCGUUGCCUCGGAGUGUCUUACCAGCUGGCGGCCCUCUUCAGCAGACCAUCCGAAGGGCACACACCGAGAGCCAGCCCGGCUAGCUGCUCGCGCGGAGCUGGGGGCUCCGAGUCGGGAACGCAGCGUCGCCGUGGAGACUGCACGGCGCGUGGAGGAAGCUCGGGCAGCAGCCGAGGGUGGGGGCUGGGGGAAUUGGGCGACGGCGGGGGAGGUGGCGGGGGCGGGGGCGGGGGCAGGGGCAGCCCGGGGAACCACGGAGAGGCAGGGUGGAGGCGGGCCCAGGCCGUAGGGCGGUGGAGGGCGCGGGACGGAGCGGGCGCGGCGAGGAGGGCCCGGGGCGGGGCUGGGAGGCGGGUCCGGGGGGGCGGGGCGGGGCGGGCGGCCGAGCUGAGGGACAGCCCCGCGGUUGUGGGUGUCCCGCGGCGCCGGAAACUGGGCGCACACACCCUCGGAUUGACGUGCGCACGCGCACCGGUUACCUUCAGGAGCGCCGAAGAAGGAAAGAAGAUGGAGUUGAGCUCUGUCGCCCAGGCUGGAGUGCAGUGGCACCAUCUCAGCUGACUGUGACCUCCGCCUCCUGGGUUCAAGUGAUUCUCCUGCAUCAGCCUCCCGAGUAGCUGGGACUACAGGUGCACACCACCAUGCCCGGCUAAUUUUUGUAUUUUUAGUAGAGACGGGGUUUUGCCAUGAUGGCCAGGUUUGGUCUCAAACUCCUAACCUCAAGUGAUCCACCCUCCUCAGCCUCCCAAAGUGCUGGGAUUACAGGCGUGAGCCACUGCGCCCCGCCUACUUGAAUUUUUUUUUUUUUUUUUUUUUUUGAGACAGAGUUUUGCUCCUGUUGCCCAGGCUGGAGUGCAACGGCAUGAUCUCGACUCACUGCAACCUCUGCCUCCUGGGUUCAAGUGAUUCUCCUGCCUCAGCCUCCCAAAUAGCUGGGAUUACAGGUGCCCACCACUGUGCCUGGCUGAUUGUAUUUUUAGUAGAGAUGGGGUUUCAUCAUGUUGGUCAGGCUGGUCUUGAACUCCAGACCUCAGGUGAUCGGACUGCCUCGGCCUCCCAAAGUGCUGGGAUUACAGGCAUGACCCACUGUGCCCGGACCUGCUUGAAUUUUUAUGAUGAGCAUGUUGGCAGAUCACGACUGCCAGCUCCGUGACAGCAAGAACCUUGUAUGACUUUUUCAUGAUGGAUGUUCAUCUGUGCCAUCUGUAAAUAUUGAAUAAAUAUUUGUGGAAUACAUGAAUCUAAAAGUGAAUGGAAUGAUAAAGAGGGAAAGGGUCAUGACAUCUACUACAGCAUUUGGCACAGACCCAGCUGUCUGCAGUACUAUCAAGAGAUGACAUGGACUUCAAGGAUCAAACAGGGGAGAAAAAGGCUUAAAAGAAAAACAAGUCUCCAUCAAAGUCCUCCUGACAUCUUAAUCUAUCUGCCAACGCUACAUGCCGUCAAGCCAAGGAAGAAUUUCCUUCUCACUGUUGCUUCUCUGACCAAGGAAGACAUAAGCACAACCAAUCACCAGACUGAUGAAAUUCCUUCCAGUUUCAGAAAAGAUUAUCACCAAUCCCUACAUUAUAAAAUUCAUACUAAUAAAGCACAAACAUUGAAU